Molecule: small RNA, 857 nt
Filed under: uncultured fungus
Lineage: Eukaryota; Fungi
Description: eukaryotic LSU rRNA
Rfam family: 5.8S ribosomal RNA (bases 179-332)
Source: RNAcentral
CAUUAUCAUGUAAUAUAUCCAGUCAUGCUGCCGCGUGAGCUGUAUAAACCCACCCCGCGUACGCUGUCCUGUUGCUUCCGCCGUGCGCCCAAAUGCGCCCGGCGGAAGUUGAAGAAGAAUAACCUCCGUGUUUUACUACGUAAUCCGUCUGAAUGAAUGGGAACGAUGAAAUGUUAAAAACUUUCAGCAACGGAUCUCUUGGUUCUCGCAUCGAUGAAGAACGCAGCGAAAUGCGAUAAGUAGUGUGAAUUGCAGAAUCUAGUGAAUCAUCGAAUCUUUGAACGCACAUUGCGCCUUCCGGCAUUCCGGGAGGCAUGCCUGUUCGAGAGUCAUUGACAACCGUUUCGAGCCCCCUUUUGUCCUUUCUCCAAGUUCUGGAGGGGGUCGGUGGGGAUUCGUUGUUGGUGGUGGAGGCACGAGUUGCCGGGCUUGCCCGCUAUGCUUGGCAAAUCUCCUCCCCGCUGAAAUUCGGCAUGGGGCUGUUUUAUAGGUGGUGGGAUUGAAGGCGAUAUAAAUUCUCCCCGGCCCCCCGGGUAGAUUGUGCCGACCCCCUCAACUUCCGCGGUUCACAGCCGGUCCUGUGUGUUAAUUGGCCCACGUCACGAUGGAUGGCGGUUUCGUUUACGGCGAUGUGCGGAGGACCUCCUCCAUCUUGGAGCCGCCGUGUACCCGUAACGUAACGAUUGGGUCGGCCGACCUGUUGCUUGUAGCUGUACUCCACGCUUGUUGCAAUUCGGUACCACAGGACGCUGGCCCAGCCAGCCGACAAGGAAGGACCUUGCGCCCGCGCCACUUUAUUUUAAAUCAAUGGUUGACCUCGGAUCAGUAGGGAUACCCGCUGAACUUAAGCAUAUCAA